UACGAAGGGGGCUAGCGUUGCUCGGAAUCACUGGGCGUAAAGGGUGCGUAGGCGGGUUUUUAAGUCAGAGGUGAAAUCCUGGAGCUCAACUCCAGAACUGCCUUUGAUACUGACAAUCUCGAGUCCGGAAGAGGUUGGUGGAACAGCUAGUGUAGAGGUGAAAUUCGUAGAUAUUCGCAAGAACACCAGUGGCGAAGGCGGCGAUCUGGGAAGAUACUGACGCUGAGGUGCGAAAGCGUGGGGAGCAAACAGG
Molecule: ribosomal RNA, 253 nt
Filed under: uncultured bacterium
Lineage: Bacteria
Description: partial 16S ribosomal RNA
Rfam family: Bacterial small subunit ribosomal RNA
Source: RNAcentral